Molecule: ribosomal RNA, 469 nt
Filed under: uncultured bacterium
Lineage: Bacteria
Description: partial 16S ribosomal RNA
Rfam family: Bacterial small subunit ribosomal RNA
Source: RNAcentral
GACGAACGCUGGCGGCGUGCUUAACACAUGCAAGUCGAACGGUGAAGCGAGUGCUUGCACUCGUGGAUCAGUGGCGAACGGGUGAGUAACACGUGAGUAACCUGCCCAUCACUCUGGGAUAAGCACUGGAAACGGUGUCUAAUACUGGAUACGACCAACCCUUGCAUGGGGAGUUGGUGGAAAGAUUUAUCGGUGAUGGAUGGACUCGCGGCCUAUCAGCUUGUUGGCGGGGUAAUGGCCCACCAAGGCGACGACGGGUAGCCGGCCGGAGAGGGUGACCGGCCACACUGGGACUGAGACACGGCCCAGACUCCUACGGGAGGCAGCAGUGGGGAAUAUUGCACAAUGGGCGAAAGCCUGAUGCAGCGACGCCGCGUGAGGGAUGACGGCCUUCGGGUUGUAAACCUCUUUCAGCAGGGAAGAAGCGAAAGUGACGGUACCUGCAGAAGAAGCACCGGCUAACUACGUG